UACCUUUUGUAUAAUGGGUCAGCGACUUAUAUUCUGUAGCAAGGUUAACCGAAUAGGGGAGCCGAAGGGAAACCGAGUCUUAACUGGGCGUUAAGUUGCAGGGUAUAGACCCGAAACCCGGUGAUCUAGCCAUGGGCAGGUUGAAGGUUGGGUAACACUAACUGGAGGACCGAACCGACUAAUGUUGAAAAAUUAGCGGAUGACUUGUGGCUGGGGGUGAAAGGCCAAUCAAACCGGGAGAUAGCUGGUUCUCCCCGAAAGCUAUUUAGGUAGCGCCUCGUGAAUUCAUCUCCGGGGGUAGAGCACUGUUUCGGCAAGGGGGUCAUCCCGACUUACCAACCCGAUGCAAACUGCGAAUACCGGAGAAUGUUAUCACGGGAGACACACGGCGGGUGCUAACGUCCGUCGUGAAGAGGGAAACAACCCAGACCGCCAGCUAAGGUCCCAAAGUCAUGGUUAAGUGGGAAACGAUGUGGGAAGGCCCAGACAGCCAGGAUGUUGGCUUAGAAGCAGCCAUCAUUUAAAGAAAGCGUAAUAGCUCACUGGUCGAGUCGGCCUGCGCGGAAGAUGUAACGGGGCUAAACCAUGCACCGAAGCUGCGGCAGCGACACUAUGUGUUGUUGGGUAGGGGAGCGUUCUGUAAGCCUGUGAAGGUGUACUGUGAGGUAUGCUGGAGGUAUCAGAAGUGCGAAUGCUGACAUAAGUAACGAUAAAGCGGGUGAAAAGCCCGCUCGCCGGAAGACCAAGGGUUCCUGUCCAACGUUAAUCGGGGCAGGGUGAGUCGACCCCUAAGGCGAGGCCGAAAGGCGUAGUCGAUGGGAAACAGGUUAAUAUUCCUGUACUUGGUGUUACUGCGAAGGGGGGACGGAGAAGGCUAUGUUGGCCGGGCGACGGUUGUCCCGGUUUAAGCGUGUAGGCUGGUUUUCCAGGCAAAUCCGGAAAAUCAAGGCUGAGGCGUGAUGACGAGGCACUACGGUGCUGAAGCAACAAAUGCCCUGCUUCCAGGAAAAGCCUCUAAGCAUCAGGUAACAUCAAAUCGUACCCCAAACCGACACAGGUGGUCAGGUAGAGAAUACCAAGGCGCUUGAGAGAACUCGGGUGAAGGAACUAGGCAAAAUGGUGCCGUAACUUCGGGAGAAGGCACGCUGAUAUGUAGGUGAAGUCCCUCGCGGAUGGAGCUGAAAUCAGUCGAAGAUACCAGCUGGCUGCAACUGUUUAUUAAAAACACAGCACUGUGCAAACACGAAAGUGGACGUAUACGGUGUGACGCCUGCCCGGUGCCGGAAGGUUAAUUGAUGGGGUCAGCGCAAGCGAAGCUCUUGAUCGAAGCCCCGGUAAACGGCGGCCGUAACUAUAACGGUCCUAAGGUAGCGAAAUUCCUUGUCGGGUAAGUUCCGACCUGCACGAAUGGCGUAAUGAUGGCCAGGCUGUCUCCACCCGAGACUCAGUGAAAUUGAACUCGCUGUGAAGAUGCAGUGUACCCGCGGCAAGACGGAAAGACCCCGUGAACCUUUACUAUAGCUUGACACUGAACAUUGAGCCUUGAUGUGUAGGAUAGGUGGGAGGCUUAGAAGUGUGGACGCCAGUCUGCAUGGAGCCGACCUUGAAAUACCACCCUUUAAUGUUUGAUGUUCUAACGUUGACCCGUAAUCCGGGUUGCGGACAGUGUCUGGUGGGUAGUUUGACUGGGGCGGUCUCCUCCUAAAGAGUAACGGAGGAGCACGAAGGUUGGCUAAUCCUGGUCGGACAUCAGGAGGUUAGUGCAAUGGCAUAAGCCAGCUUGACUGCGAGCGUGACGGCGCGAGCAGGUGCGAAAGCAGGUCAUAGUGAUCCGGUGGUUCUGAAUGGAAGGGCCAUCGCUCAACGGAUAAAAGGUACUCCGGGGAUAACAGGCUGAUACCGCCCAAGAGUUCAUAUCGACGGCGGUGUUUGGCACCUCGAUGUCGGCUCAUCACAUCCUGGGGCUGAAGUAGGUCCCAAGGGUAUGGCUGUUCGCCAUUUAAAGUGGUACGCGAGCUGGGUUUAGAACGUCGUGAGACAGUUCGGUCCCUAUCUGCCGUGGGCGCUGGAGAACUGAGGGGGGCUGCUCCUAGUACGAGAGGACCGGAGUGGACGCAUCACUGGUGUUCGGGUUGUCAUGCCAAUGGCACUGCCCGGUAGCUAAAUGCGGAAGAGAUAAGUGCUGAAAGCAUCUAAGCACGAAACUUGCCCCGAGAUGAGUUCUCCCUGACUCCUUGAGAGUCCUGAAGGAACGUUGAAGACGACGACGUUGAUAGGCCGGGUGUGUAAGCGCAGCGAUGCGUUGAGCUAACCGGUACUAAUGAACCGUGAGGCUUAACC
This 2340-nucleotide ribosomal RNA is filed under the name human gut metagenome. RNAcentral's name for it is "bacterial LSU rRNA". It matches the Rfam family "Bacterial large subunit ribosomal RNA", at positions 602 to 2925 of the family's 2925-position model. The record is from RNAcentral.